UAAGCAUAUCAAUAAGCGGAGGAAAAGAAACUAACAAGGAUUCCCCUAGUAACUGCGAGUGAAGCGGGAAAAGCUCAAAUUUAAAAUCUGGUGGUCUUUGGCCAUCCGAGUUGUAGUCUGGAGAAGUGCUUUCCGCGUUGGACCGUGUACAAGUCUCUUGGAACAGAGCGUCAUAGAGGGUGAGAAUCCCGUCUUUGACACGGACUACCAAUGCUUUGUGAUGCGCUCUCAAAGAGUCGAGUUGUUUGGGAAUGCAGCUCAAAAUGGGUGGUAAAUUCCAUCUAAAGCUAAAUAUUGGCGAGAGACCGAUAGCGAACAAGUACCGUGAGGGAAAGAUGAAAAGCACUUUGGAAAGAGAGUUAAACAGUACGUGAAAUUGCUGAAAGGGAAACGCUUGAAGUCAGUCGCGUUGGCCGGAACUCAGCCUUGCUUUUGCUAGGUGCACUUUCUGGUUGACGGGCCAGCAUCAAUUUUGAUUGUUGGAUAAAGGCUGGGGGAAUGUAGCACCUUCGGGUGUGUUAUAGCCCCCGGUCACAUACAACAGUUGGGAUUGAGGAUCUCAGCACGCCUUUAUGGCCGGGGUUCGCCCACGUUCGUGCUUAGGAUGCUGGCAUAAUGGCUUUAAUCGACCCGUCUUGAAACACGGACCAAGGAGUCUAACAUGCCUGCGAGUGUUUGGGUGGAAAACCCGAGCGCGUAAUGAAAGUGAAAGUUGGGAUCUCUGUCAUGGAGAGCACCGACGCCCGGACCUGACCUUCUGUGACGGCUCCGCGGUAGAGCAUGUAUGUUGGGACCCGAAAGAUGGUGAACUAUGCCUGAAUAGGGUGAAGCCAGAGGAAACUCUGGUGGAGGCUCGUAGCGAUUCUGACGUGCAAAUCGAUCGUCAAAUUUGGGUAUAGGGGCGAAAGACUAAUCGAACCAUCUAGUAGCUGGUUCC
Molecule: ribosomal RNA, 937 nt
Filed under: Antrodia alpina
Lineage: Eukaryota; Fungi; Basidiomycota; Agaricomycetes; Polyporales; Fomitopsidaceae
Description: LSU rRNA
Rfam family: Eukaryotic large subunit ribosomal RNA
Source: RNAcentral